Molecule: long non-coding RNA, 417 nt
Filed under: Gallus gallus (chicken)
Lineage: Eukaryota; Metazoa; Chordata; Aves; Galliformes; Phasianidae
Source: RNAcentral
CCCAUUCUGACCGUACCCGUCGGAGGCGUAGUCCCCCCCGUAGGUCUUCUGGUAAUAGUAGGUCUUGUGGGUGUGGGUGCCGCCGCCGCCGCCGCCCACCACAUGGGAGCUCAUCUCGUAGCGCAGGUCGGUGCCCGAGUCGGCCCGCGCCAUGCGGCCCAGCGUGUUGAUCCGCGGGUGCGAGCCGCCGUUCAUGCUCAUGGCGGCGGGGCGGAGAGGGGGCGAAGCGGGAAGCGGGGGGACAGACGACCCACAGCCGGAGGGGAGAGCGGCAUUCACCGCCCGGCGAGCCCGAGCUCAGGGGGCGGCGGGGCGGGCGGGGGCCGGGCAGGUGAGGAAGGGCGGCUGGGCGAAGCAGCGGGCUCUUGGGCGGCGGAGGCUGCGGGUGGUGGUGGUGGCGGCAGCGGCGGCAGCAAG